UGUGAUGCGGCUCUACUACUCUACCAUGUGUUCCUACUACUAGCUCUAGUCGUGGAUGCUGGGUAGCUCCCUGUUUUCUCUGUUUUUAUGUAAUCCUAGAUAGAACCAUACAACUGUGGAUGACAAACACUGCAAUUUAAUCUAAAAUUGUCAUCAUGAUCCUAGCAAAUACUCCUCAAAUUACUGUAAAUUGUUGCACGAUUAGGGGCUAGUGUAGAUGCAAAAUAAGGUUGCACUUUUAGAGGAGAUAAGCCACUGAUGUUGGAUGCUUGGUAGUUGUCUUGUGUUGUGUGCAUGUCGGUACUAGCAGUAUGUCCGUGAGCAACAAGCAUACGAUUUGUGCAUAUGCUCUACUGUAUUGGCCUCAUGGGUCAUCGCUGAUUGACCAGGACUAUAGAUUAUUCCUUCAGCGUACUAUCGCUUUCUCAAGUCAACUCAAGCAACAAUUCAUGUGGCUCGCUCAAUCGGGUGGGCGGCAUAUUUAUUCAGUAUAUUCUCUGAAAUUGCAAGUUCUGAAGUGUAUCAUUUUUUUGUGCAGUCAGAGAGCUGAACGGGGCGAGGCUGGAGGCGUCGGUGAGGGCGUACGGUGGUGCCGGCCAGAGCAAGGUGUCCAACAAAUGGUUUGUAAGUUAAAAUGAUGCCCAGGGUUCAGGACAUGUGUGAUUUCUCUUGACAUAGGUGCUCCUUCAUUGCCGCUGCCAUAUGCCAAAGCCGGCAAUGAACUCCUAGAUGACAGUGGAAGCCAUGUUGUUGUUUUGUUUGUUCCCAGCCCUGACUAUGGUCUUCGAGCGAGUCCGGCAUGUUGUUCAUCUGACUAUGUUCAUCCAGCGAGUCCAGUAUGUUCAUGACAGGAGCAGGUAGUUUGUGAUCACAUGGAAGGAGCUUGUAAAGCAGUACUGUAUUACAUGUAGAGCUUGUUACACUUGUAGAGCUUGUAAAGCAGUAUGGUCCUCUGUAUUGGAACGGAUAGAGCUUGUAUUAUGUGAUCUGGUUGCUCUUAUUUAAGUAUCAUGUGUGUUUUUGUCUCUGCCAAACAAAAUAAUGCUUGAAAUAUGAAGAAUAUGAGCCUGAUAGAUGGGACCCGCUUACCAAAACAUGACA
Triticum aestivum (bread wheat) is the source of this 1101-nucleotide long non-coding RNA. RefSeq lists it as uncharacterized. The record is from RefSeq and is a predicted model, not a curated record. The transcript has 3 exons. Lineage: Eukaryota; Viridiplantae; Streptophyta; Magnoliopsida; Poales; Poaceae.